Molecule: ribosomal RNA, 514 nt
Filed under: Alternaria sp. CID840
Lineage: Eukaryota; Fungi; Ascomycota; Dothideomycetes; Pleosporales; Pleosporaceae
Description: eukaryotic LSU rRNA
Rfam family: 5.8S ribosomal RNA (bases 141-294)
Source: RNAcentral
CUCUCGGGGUUACAGCCUUGCUGAAUUAUUCACCCUUGUCUUUUGCGUAGUUCUUGUUUCCUUGGUGGGUUCGCCCACCACUAGGACAAACAUAAACCUUUUGUAAUUGCAAUCAGCGUCAGUAACAAAUUAAUAAUUACAACUUUCAACAACGGAUCUCUUGGUUCUGGCAUCGAUGAAGAACGCAGCGAAAUGCGAUAAGUAGUGUGAAUUGCAGAAUUCAGUGAAUCAUCGAAUCUUUGAACGCACAUUGCGCCCUUUGGUAUUCCAAAGGGCAUGCCUGUUCGAGCGUCAUUUGUACCCUCAAGCUUUGCUUGGUGUUGGGCGUCUUGUCUCUAGCUUUGCUGGAGACUCGCCUUAAAGUAAUUGGCAGCCGGCCUACUGGUUUCGGAGCGCAGCACAAGUCGCACUCUCUAUCAGCAAAGGUCUAGCAUCCAUUAAGCCUUUUUUCAACUUUUGACCUCGGAUCAGGUAGGGAUACCCGCUGAACUUAAGCAUAUCAAUAAGCGGAGGA